CCUUUGGCUAUUCGAAAGGGCAUGCCUGUUUGAGUAUCAUGAACACCUCAACUCUCAUGGUUUGCCAUGAUGAGCUUGGACUUUGGAGGUCUUGCCGGCCUGCGGUCGGCUCCUCUCAAAUGGAUCAGCUUGCCAGUGUUUGGUGGCAUCAUGGGUGUGAUAACUAUCUACGCCUGUGGUUUUCCACCGGAUAACCUUCAGUGAUGGAGGUUUGCUGGAGCUCAUAAAUGUCUCUCCUCAGUGAAGACAGCUUUUUGAACGUUUGAUCUCAAAUCAGGUAGGACUACCCGCUGAACUUAAGCAUAUCAAUAAGCGGAGG
This 319-nucleotide ribosomal RNA is filed under the name uncultured Tomentella. RNAcentral describes it as "eukaryotic LSU rRNA". The stretch from base 264 to 319 matches the Rfam family "Eukaryotic large subunit ribosomal RNA", at positions 1 to 56 of the family's 3401-position model. Lineage: Eukaryota; Fungi; Basidiomycota; Agaricomycetes; Thelephorales; Thelephoraceae. The record is from RNAcentral.